Molecule: non-coding RNA, 11251 nt
Organism: Oryctolagus cuniculus (rabbit)
Lineage: Eukaryota; Metazoa; Chordata; Mammalia; Lagomorpha; Leporidae
Source: RefSeq, a predicted model, not a curated record
CAGAGUCACCAUGGAGGGGCCUGGGGAAGAGCAGCAGUGAGCCACUGCCUGGCCCUACAGAGGCUGUGGAUCUUGCAGCGAGUCUUCUGUCCCCAUUUUGUCCCAGGAGAGGGGUCAUUUUCAGAAACUCAUCCCUUGAAGCAGGACAGGUGUUUAUCUGUUUGAGAACUUGCCCCCAGCUACCAUCACCAUGCUCACCCUGGUCAGCAUUAGGCCAGAGCUGAGUGACUUACAAGCAACUCAGGGGACUGGUAGGGACAGAGUUGAGGUAGAGCAGGUGCUGAGAGCUCAAGGAUUCACAAGGAGAGGGGGCAGCCUGCAGGGCCUCCUUGUCCCUGGUGGAGCCAGACCAGUUCAGCAACAUUCCAGAGCAUGCAUCCACGGGGUGAGGGGCACAUUGCCUGGCCUGUGGGCAGGUGUCCAGCAGAUCCCUGGGUCCCAGGGGGUCAGGCUAAAGGCCUCUUGUAGAAAGGCCCAAGGAACAGCCACGGCUGUGGAAUCUGGGUCUAAGAAGCUGCCCAGGGACCCAUCUCAGGGAGAGCAGGACAAGCGGGUUUGCAGUUCACAAUGUCCUGCCCUUGGUUCUGUGCUGGGAGGAGGACCUGUUGUGGAGGAGGCAGGAAUGAAUCUGUUCGCACCAUCAUCCCAGGACUGGACAGAAGCACGGAGACUGGAAGUCUUGUAGGCUGAGGCUUGGGCUGGAUGAAGAUGACACUGGCCCUUCCCUGGCUCUAUGCAACAGUGGACAAUUCUCAGCCUAGUGCAGAUCCUCAGGGCUCUGCCUCCCAGUGAGAAGAUGCUGACCUGUGACAGUGCCCUGAGGUUGAAGCCGUGAGACUCACAUACUCGAAAAUGCAUAAAGAUGUUGAAGAACUGGAGCAAAUAUCAGAGUAAUAGCAAGUUGUGUCCCAAGACACACAUGAGGGUCACUGCCCAGGUGUGGGGAAGAAGUCAACACUGCUGCUGGACUUGAACAAGGUGUCCUGGAGAGCAGAGCUUGGAGAGAUGAGGCCAUGGGAAAUCUCAGCCACCUGGAGGCUGUGAGAAGGGCCAGAGUGCAGAGUGAGGGGUCUAUCCUGACCAAGAGCUAGCCGGGAACAGAAUCAGGUUGGACUAGGAUAUGCAGGGAAUGAAUUGAGGGUAGGUGCCAUCCAAAUUAUGCCCUAUUUUACUACUUGUGAUCUCAUAUGCCUGCCUUUUGUACUUUUUGACUAUUUCAAUCUAUCACAACAGUCAGGAAUGAAUAAUGUAACAAACCCCAAAUUCCAUCCCCACAGUUCCCACAGGUACCUGAAGCAGUCUCUCGUCCCAGGUUCACACACACACACACACAGUGACAAAUAACCUAAAACAAAGCCAAAUGCAUCUGUAGAUAUCUCAGUGUGCAUUAAUAAGUUAGCAUUGUUUUUUAAACACGAGCAUCAUCACCCUUCAAACAUUGGUAUAAUCCUACAAUAUCCAGUCAGUAUUAAUAUCUACUCAACUGCCUUCCAGUCUCUAUCUAUUCCAUCCCAAAGUGGAGAUUUUAUGUAGAGGAGCUAGUAAUAAGCAAGUAAAGUAAAAACUUUCAAAAAUGCUUUAAAUAAUGACAAUUACCAUUGUGCCACUAAAAAUGCUAUACUGAGUUAUAAAUUCAACAAAAUGUUAGGUUAUCAGUCUGCAGAAAAUUACAAAUCACUCAUAACAGAGAUAAAAGAUCUAAAUAAAUGCAGAGUUGGACUAUGUUCUAUGGUUAAGAAGGCUCAGUACUGCUAUCAGCUUUGCCCACUUUGUUGAGUGGAUUCAACCCAAACCCAGUCCAGGUCUCAGCAAACUUUUCAGUAGACAAUGCCAAGUUGAUUCUGCAAUGGACAUGGAAAGCAAAGGGUCUAGAAUAGCUAAAACAAUGCUUAUGCUAGGAGAUAUGUUGGAAGACUCACUUCUUUUUAGAUUUUUCUACUAUACAAGUACAGAGAAAAAGACAGGGCUGUGUUAAAGAAAUGAAAGAUGCAUAGAUCUAUGGGAGAAAAUGGAGAAAUUGUUUCUCCAAUUCAAGUGAUCUUUGACCAAGGGGCCAACAGAACUCAACGGAUCCGAGUUGGUCAUUUUAACAAAUGAUACUGAAAUGAUCUGGCACCACUAUGCAAAGCAAAACACCAAAUUUUCAAUACAUACCUCUAGAAAACUAAUUUAAAAUGGAUCAUGGGUCUAAUUAACUAUGAAAUCAUAAAUAUUCCAUGAAUAUACAGGAUACCACUUCAAUAUCAUGAUGAGUGUUUGUACAGAUUCAAAAGCAUAUUCCAAGAAUGACAGAGAAAAAAUGAUCAAUGGAACUUUAUCGCUUUCACUCUGCCAAAUAUAUUGUAAAGAGAAUAAGUAAAAGGCUACAGAAUGGGUUAUGAUUAGGGAGUGGGAGAAAUACAUAUUUUAUAAAAAUUUAUCUAUUUGAAAGGUGGAAUUACAGAGAGGCAGAGGCAGAGAGACAGAGGUUUUCCAUCUGCUGGUCCAUUCCUAAGAUGGCCACAAUGUCUGGAGCUGCUCCAAUCCAAAGCCAGGAGCCAGGAGGUUCCACCAGGUCUCCCAUGGGGGUUCAGGGGCCCAAGGACUUGGGACAUGUUCUAUUGCUUUCCCAGGUUGUAGCAGAGAGCUGUAUCGGGAAAGGAGCAGCCUGGACUCGAACAGGAGCCCAUAUGGGAUGCUGGUGUUUCAGGCAACCAGGCAGCAGCUUUACUUGCUACUCCACAGUGCUUGGCCUGGCAGAAAAUACUUACAAAAUAUACAGCUAAUGAAGGACUUGUAUCCAUAUUAUACACUGAACAAUUAAAAUUUAAUGAGAAGGGGCUAGCACAGUAGUUCAAUAGGCUAAGCCUCUGCCUGUAGUGCCAGCAUCACAAAUUGGCACUAGUUGGUGUCCUGGCUGCUCCUCUUCCAAACUGGCUCUCUGCUAUGGCCUAAGAAAGCAGUAGAAGAUGGCCCAAGUGCUUGAGCCCCUGCACCCAUGUGGAAGACCUGGAAGAAGCUCCUGGCUCCUGGCUUAGGAUUGACUUAGCUCUGGACGUUGCAGCCAUUUGGGGAAUGAAACAGUGGAUAGAGGAUCUUUCUCUCUGUCUCUCUCCUUCUCUGUCUGUAAUUCCACCUCUCAAAAAAUAAAUAGAAUCUAAAAAAUUUUUAAUGAGGAAAAAGGUGACCCCUCCACCCUACAACUGGCACAGUAUAUAAAAGGACACUACCUCCAACAAGCACAAGAAAAUAGUAUACUGAGUGUUAACAGCAUGAUGAAAUAUCAUGGCAAGUCUAUUUGAGUAAAAUCAACAGAACUAGUAGUAGUAAAUGUUGAAAAAAAUGUGGAGUAACAGAAACAUGCAUUUACUGAAGGAAGGAAUUCAAAACAGAACAGGAACCUGUAAGAAUAUUUGACAAUUUCUUACAAAAGCACACAAACAGUAUCAGACUCCAAAUGUGAAUCUCUAUGCACUCAAUUGACUUGGAAAAAAAGCACACAUAAAAACUGCAUGCCAUAUUCACUGUCCUAUUCACAAUCACUAAAAACUGUAAACUGGAUGAUCUUCAUGAGGGAUGAAUAUGCAAGCUGUACCAGAUCCAUAAUGAGGAACAGGAUUCAGUGAGAAAGAGGAACAAGCCAUGAAGUCAUGUGAUGACCGGGCUGAAUUUCAGGUACAUUUUUCUAAGAGCAAGAAGCCAUACCCUAAAAGCUACAUGCUGAUUCAACUCAUAGGGCAUUCUGGGAAAAGGCCAAACAAUAGAUACAGAGAACACACAAAUGAAUGGUUGUCAGUGCCCAGUGGAUUUCAGAGUUUGACUGCAAAGGGCCACACAGAGAUGUUAUAGGCAAAGGAGCUGCUACUUCAGUUGUUGGACUGGUGGUUAGGAGACACUCACAUGAGGGUUCAAACCAUUGGUGGUUAGGAGACACUCCCAUGUGGGUUCAAAUCACUGGUGGUUAGGAGACACUCUCACAGUGGUUCAAACCAUUUAUGGUUAGGGACACCCAUGUGGGUUCAGACCCUUGCAUCUGUACCUCCCACACACUGCUCAUAUAGAUAAAAAAAAUGCACCCAAUGUGCACCUGAGGUUCAUUUCAUUAUAUGUAGAUUUUACCCCAAAGCUCAACAAAUGUCAAUGUUCCCUGAAGGUCUCACUCUUUGUUGGUAGAUGGUCACAAUAGGACUUUAGUGCUUCUCUCAGAGCUUGUUAGACCUCAGCAGAAAACUGGGCAAACUGUCUUUUCUAUAUUUCCCAGGAGGCAAGUCUCAUUUCCUGUGAUCUUGGUGUAUUCUGCCUAUGGCACUGUGAGUAUUCCAGAUGAGAUUCCCAGGCUAUACUCCAGUUAGGAGGUCUUAUGCCGCAGAGAUGCAAUCAAAACAUGGGAGCUGUCUAAUGCAAAACUGAGACAAAAGGAAUAGAUGUCCAAGCAAGAGGCCUCCCUGGACCUGGUCACAUGUUGUUAAGAAGUGGCACAUUCCUCCUGAACCUGCAUCAACCCCACAGGCUUGGCAGUGUUGGAGGAUGUUUCUCUAGCUAGGUAUAUGUCAACAUACUUUGCCAGGAUCCUGAAACUUGAGUCUGGAUCCUGUAGAUCUCACCAUAUUUAUCACAGUUCACAGGGAGUCCUUGAAUCUGAAUUUCACUCCUUAAGAAAGCCAGUGCCCAAACCUUCCCUUUCAAACCCUUCCCUUGAGGGGGACAGCUGAGGGUAUCUAUAGUCAGUCCUGGGUCUUUGCAAUCUCCUGAGUUACAGCCAGCUAACCUUCCAAAUGCAUUGAAUUUAUGGCUGCAAGGGGCCCUGGGCUGCAAUCAAGGUCGUUUCAUAACUUGUUUGUUCCCAUGGCUCUGGCUGGCCAUGCUAAGGUGCUUCUUCCUUGGGGGUUGUGACUUCAAAGUGCAAGGCUCAAGGCCUGCCAUAGGUGUGGUGCCUGGACUGGCACAAUGGCCUCCUAGGUCCUGGCCUCUGGGAAGAUUAGGUCACCCUUAGUUCUGUCCUUACACCCCAGGCAACCUGAGUGCAGGCUUAGGAGGAGUCUCCCUGGGGUCAUUGAAUAUAGGCAAGUACUCCUACUCUUGAGGUCCAGUGGCAUAGGAGGUUGAGCCCAAGCCUAAGUCUGAGCUUCCCUAAGGCCUCUGGUAGGUCACAUUAGCUCCCCAGAUGAGAUCAGCUUUUCCAGAUGAAGCCAGUGUCUUUUUCAGGUGAGAUGAGACCUUCCAGGUAAGCUUGAGCCUGCCAGGUGAUGCUUGGCCAUGAUGACUUUGGCUCUUGCAGGUAAUAGAGUAUUGCCAGAACAAGAAUGAUGUGGCAGCCCUUCUCCUCAUGUACAUGGAUGAGGACACUGCAUUCUGGGCCCAGGCACGCAUUGUAUAGUAGGUACAUGAUGGUGAUAUGCUUUCUUUCCACCAGGCUGAAUUAUGGCCAAAUGCCUAGCUGAAUGCACCUUCCAAACCCUCCUGGCCCUUGUAUGUCCAAGACAAUCUUCUUAAGGAUGGUCCCACAGCAGAAAGAGCUGGCAGAGAUGCCCCUACUGUGAGUCAGAGUCUUUAUCUCCCCAUUAGCCAAGGGAGCUAUGUUCUGUCUGUGGCCAACCUCUGAGUUCCUCACCCAUACUCCUCAGGACUUCUCCAGACGAUACUUAUGGACCUGCUGACCCUUCUGCCUCACUUUUCUCCAGUCAAUGAACUCAAGGCCAGAGCACAUCCAGAUGGUAGGGUCCCCUAUUCUAGGUCCCCUUAGCCUGACUUGCAAAUCCAAUCAAUACAAUCCUCCACCCAGCUCCCACCCCAAUCUCCAUGACAGCCACCUACAGACCAAGUGAGAUCCAUGUUGUCCCUCAACAGCACCUACCUGCCUCCUCUGUUCCUUUGUCCUGACCAAAUAUCUUGGCUGCUUUAAUGGGUGAGCUCCCUGCCUCCUUGUCCUGUUGCUUUUCUGGAAGACUCUUUCUCUGCCACUGCCUGGGAACAGCUCCUGUCUGCUAAAUGAUCCUCACUGUUACUGAUGCUGAAGGUGCAGACAGAGGACACAGGGAUGUUGUACCUGAUGACUGGCCAGGGAAUGCAAGUGUUCCAACUCACAACAGGUUGGGGACCAUCUGACAUUUUAGCCUCACUGCUGAUGGUGCUUGGAGUGGAUACGGGGGACAUGGGCUGUUGUACCUGAGGACUGGCCCUGGAGUAUAGGUGCUCCUCCCUUUUUUUCAAUACCCCACUUUUAUUUUUUUAACUUUUAUUUAAUGAAUAUAAAUUUCCAAAGUACAGCUUAUGGAUUACAAUGGCUUUUACCCCCCCAUAACUUCUCUCCCAUGCGCAACCCUCCCCUUUCCCACUCCCUCUUCCCUUCCAUUAACAUCAAGAUUCAUUUUCAAUUAUCUUUAUAUACAGAUCAAUUUAGCAUAUAUUAAGUAAACCUUUCAACAAUUUGCACCCACACAGAAACACAAAGUGAAAAAUACUGUUUGAGUACUAGUUAUAGCAUUAAAGCACAAUGUACAGCACAUUAAGGACAGAGAUCCUACAUGAGGAGUAAAUGCACAGUGACUCCUCUUGUUGACUUAACAAAUUGACACUCUUGUAUAAGGCGUCAGUAAUCACCCUAGGCUCUUGUCAUGAGUUGACAAGGCUAUGGAAGCCUUUUGAGAUCACUGACUCUGAUUAUAUUUAGACAAGGUCAUAAUCAAAGGGGAAGUUCUCUCCUGCUUUCAGAGAAAGGUACCUCCUUCUUUGAUGACCUGUUCUUUCCACUGGGAUCUCACUCGCAGAGAUCUUUCAUUUGGGUCAUUUCAUUUUUUUUUCCCAGAGUGUCCUGGCUUUCCAUGCCUAAAAUACUCUCAUGGGCUCUCCAGCCAGAUCCAAAUGCCUCAAGGGCUGAUUCUGAGGCCAGAGUGAUGUUUAGGACAUCUGCCAUCUGCCAUUCUGUGAGUCUGCUAUAUAUCUCGCUUCCCAUGAUGGAUCAUCCUCUCUUUUUUAUUCUAUCAGUUAGUAUUUGCAGACACUAGUCUUGUUCAUGUGAUCCUUCUGACUCUUAGUCCUAUCAUUAUGAUCAAUUGUGAACUGAAACUGAUCACUUGGACUAGUGAGAUGGCAUUGGUACAUUCCACCUUGAUGGGAUUGAAUUGGAACCCCCUGGCACAUUUCUAACUCCACCAUUUGGGGCAUGUCAGCUUGAGCAUGUCCCAAAUUGUACAUCUCCUCCCUCUCUUAAUCCCACUCUUAUAUUUAACAGGGAUCACUUUUCAGUUAAGUUUCAACACUUAAGAAUAAUUGUGUGUUAAUAACAGAGUUCAAACAAUAGUAUUAAGUAAAACAAAAAAAAAAUACUAAAAGGGAUAAAAUAGUAAGUUGUUCAUCAACAGUCAGGGCAAGGGCUGAUUAAGUCACUGUUUCUCAUAGUGUCCAUUUCACUUCAACAAGUUUCCUUCUUGGUGCUCGGUUAGUUGUCACCAAUCAGGGAGAGCAUAUGAUAUUUCUCCCUUUGGGACUGUCUUAUUUCACUCAGCAUGAUGUUUUCCAGAUUCCUCCAUUUUGCUCCAAAUGACUGGAUUUCACUGUAUUUUACUGCUGUAUAGUAUUCUAUAGAGUGCAUGUCCCAUAAUUUCUUUAUCCAGUCUACUGUUGAUGGGCAUUAGGUUGAUUCCAUGUCUUAGCUAUUGUGAAUUGAGCUGCAAUAAACAUUAAGGAGCAGACAGCUUUUGUGUUUGCCAAUUUAAACUCCUUUGGGUAAAUUCCAAGGAGUGGGAUGGCUGGGUUGUAUGCUAGGAUUAUAUUCAGGUUUCUGAGGAAUCUCCAGACUGACUUCCAUAGUGGCUUGACCAGUUUGCAUUCCCACCAACAGUGGGUUAAUGUCCCUUUUUCCCCACAUCCUCGCCAGCAUCUGUUGUUGGUAGAUUUCUGCAUGUGAGCCAUUCUAACCGAGGUGAGGUGAAACCUCAUUGUGGUUUUGAUUUGCAUUUCCCUGAUUGCUAGUGAUCUUGAACAUUUUUUCAUGUGUCUGUUGGCCAUUUGGAUUUCCUCUCUUGAAAAAUAUCUAUUGAGGUCCUUGGCCCAUCUCUUGUUUGUUGUUGUGGAAUUUCUUGAUUAUUUCUUAGUUAUUAACCCUUUAUCUGUGGCAUAGUUUGCAAAUAUUUUUCUCAUUCUGUCGGUUGCCUCUUCACUUUCCUGUUUAUUUUGCAGUACAGAAACUUCUCAAUUUGAUGCAAUCCCAAAUGUUAAUUUUGGCUUUGACUGCCUGUGCCUCAGGGGUGUUUCCCAAGAAGUCUUUGCCGGUCCCAAUAUCUUUCAGGGUUUCUCCAAUGUUCUUUAAGAAUUUGAUGGUGUGUGUCAGGUCAUAGAUUUAGGUCUUCAUUCCAUGUUGAGUGGGUUUUUAUGUAAGGUGCAAGGUAGGGGUCUUGCUUCAUGCUUCUGCACAUGUAUAUCCAGUUUUCCAAGCACCAUUUAUUGAAUAGACUAUCCUUACUCCAGGGAUUGGUUUUGGAUCUUUGAUAAAAUAUAAGUUGGCUGUAGAUGUUUGGGUUGAUUUCUGGUGUUUCUAUUCUGUUCCAUUGGUCUAUCCAUCUGUUUCUGUACCAGUACCAUUCUGUUUUCAUUACAACUGUCCUGUAGUAUGUCCUGAAAUCUGGUGUUGUGAUGCCUCCAGCUUUGUUUUUGUUGUACAGGUUUGCUUUAGCUAUUCGAGGUCUCCUGUGUCUCCAUAUGAAUUUCAGCAUCAUUUUUUCUAGAUCUGAAAAGAAAAGAAUGUGUUUGGUAUUUUGAUUGGUAUGGCAUUGAAUCUAUAAAUUGCUUUUGGGAGAAUGGACAUUUUGAUGAUAUUGAUUCUUCCAAUCCAUAAGCAUGGAAGAUUUUUCCAUUUCUUGGUAUCCUCUUCUAUUUCUUUCUUUAAGGUUUUGUAAUUCUCGUCGUAGAGAUCUUUAACGUCCUUGGUUAAGUUUAUUCCAAGGUAUUUGAUUGUUUUUGUAGCUAUUUUGAAUGGGAUUGAUGUUAGAAGUUCUUUCUCAGCUGUGGCAUUGCCUGUGUAUACAAAGGCUGUUGAUUUUUGUGCAUUGAUUUUAUAUCCUGCCACUUUGCCAAACUCCUCUAUGAAUUCCAAUAGUCUCUUAGUAGAGUUCUUUGGAUCCCCUAAAUAAAGAAUCAUAUCAUCUGCAAAGAGGGAUAGUUUGAGUUCUUCCUUCCCAAUUUGCAUCCCUUUAACUUCUUUUUCUUUCCUGAUGGCCCUGGCUAAAACUUCCAGAACUAUUUUGAAUAGCAGUAGUGAGAGUGGGCAUCCCUGUCUGGUACCAGAUCUCAGUGGAAAUGCUUCCAACUUUUCCCCAUUCAGUAGGAUGCUGGCUGUGGGUUUUUCAUAAAUUGCUUUGAUUGUAUUGAGGAAUGUUCCUUCUAUACCCAGUUUGCUUAGAGUUUUCCUCAUGAAAGGGUGUUGUAUUUUAUGAAAUGCUUUCUCUGUAUCUAUUGAGAUAAUCAUAUGGUUUUUCUUCUGCAGUCUGUUAAUAUGGUGUAUCACAUUGAUUGUUUUGCGCACAUUAAACCAUCCCUGCAUACCAGGGAUAAAUCCCACUUGGUCUGGAUGGAUGAUCAUUCUGAUGUAUUGUUGUAUUCUCUUGGCCAGAAUUUUAUUGAGGAUUUUUGCAUCUAUGUUCAUCAGGGAUAUUGGUCUGUAAUUCUCUUUCAAUGCUGCAUCUUUUUCCAGCUUAGGAAUUAAGGUGAUGCUGUCUUCACAGAAAGAAUUUUGGAGGAUUCCCUCUUUUCUGAUUGUUCUGAAUAGUUUGAGGAGAAUUGGAGUUAGUUCUUUAAAUGUCUGGUAGAAUUCAUCAGUGAAUCCAUCUGGUCCUGGGCUUUUCUUUGUUGGGAGGGCCUUUAUUACUGUUUCAAUUUCUGUCUCAGUUAUGGGUCUAUUUGGGAUUUCUAUGUCUUCAUGGCUCAAUUUAGGUAGAUUGCAUGUGUGCAGGAAUCUAUCCAUUUCUGAUAGGUUUCCCUGUUUGCUGGCAUACAAGUCCUUGUAGUAACUUCUGAUGAUUCUUAUUUCUGUGGUGUCUGUUGUUACAUUUCCUAUUUAAUCUCAGAUUUUAUUGAUUUGGGUCUUUUCUUUUUUUAGUUAGUUGGGACAAUGGGUGUCAAUUUUGUUUAUUUUUUCGAAAAAGCAGCUCUUAAUUUGGCUGAUUUUUUGUAAUUUUUUAUGGAUACAAUCCUGUUGAUUUCUUCUCUGUUUUUAAUUAUUUCUCUUCUCCUACUAGAUUUGGGUCUGGUUUGCUGCAAUUUUUCUUGAUCCUUGAGAUGAAUCUAAAGCUCCUUUAUUUGGCGCCUUUCCAAUUUCUUGAUGUAGGCACCUAUUGCUAUAAACUUUCCUCUCAACACUGCUUUUGACAUAUUCUAUAAUUUUUGAUAUGUUGUGUCUUUAUCCUCAUUUACUUCCAGAAAGUUUUUGAUUUCUCUUUUGAUUUCUUGAAUGACCCAGUGUUCAUUCAGGAGCAUGUUGUUCAGUCUCCAUGUGUUUGCAUACUCUCUAGGGAUUCCUGAGUUGCUAAUUUCCAACUUCAUUCCACUUUGAGCUUCUGGUGAUCUCUUAAUGGAAUUUUUUUUCCUUUACCUUCUUUCAUAUUGAUUGCCAUGUUUCUGUGUUUCUGUUUAUAGCACUUCUUUAAGCAUCUUUUGCUGGGCUGGAUGAGUGGCAACAAAUUCUUUGAAUUUGUUUGCUAUGAAAGGUCUUUAUUUCACCUUCAUUCACAAAUGAGAGCUUUGCAGGAUAUAAUAUUCUGAGCUGGCCGUUUUUCUCUCUUAGUACCUGGGCUAUAUCUCGCCAUUCCCUCCUAGCCUGUAGGGUUUCUGAUUUGAAGUCAGCUGUGUGUCUAAUUGGAGAUCCUCUGAAAGUAAUCUGAUGUUUCUCUCUUGCACAUUUUAGGAUCUUUUCUUUAUGUUUCACUGUGGUGAGUUUGAUUACAAUGUGUCGUGGUUUGGAUCUCUUUUGGUCAUGUUUAUUAGGGGUUCUAUGAGCUUCCUGUACUAGGAUGUAUCUGUCCUUCUCCAAACCGGGAAAUUUUCUGUUAGUAUCUUACUACAAAGGCCUUCUAAUCCUUCCUGUCUCUCCAUGCUUUCAGGAACUCCUAGAACCCGAAUGUUGAGUUUUUUAAUAGUAUCCUGUAGAUUCUCGACAAUACUUUUAGAUUUCUAAUUUCCUCUUCUUUUCUUUGGUUUGACUGUAUACUUUCCUGUUCUCUGCCUUCUAAGUGCGAUAUUCUCUCUCUUCUGUUUCACCGACUCUGUUUUUAAGGCUCUC